Molecule: ribosomal RNA, 252 nt
Filed under: uncultured bacterium
Lineage: Bacteria
Description: partial 16S ribosomal RNA
Rfam family: Bacterial small subunit ribosomal RNA
Source: RNAcentral
UACGGAGGAUGCGAGCGUUAUCCGGAUUUAUUGGGUUUAAAGGGUGCGCAGGCGGCGUGUCAAGUCAGCGGUAAAAUGUCGGGGCUCAACCCCGGCCGGCCGUUGAAACUGGCGUGCUCGAGUUGGAGAGAAGUAUGCGGAAUUCGUGGUGUAGCGGUGAAAUGCAUAGAUAUCACGAAGAACCCCGAUUGCGAAGGCAGCAUACCGGCUCCACACUGACGCUGAGGCACGGAAGCGUGGGUAUCGAACGGG